UGGCCAGACUCCUACGGGAGGCAGCAGUGAGGAAUAUUGGUCAAUGGGCGGGAGCCUGAACCAGCCAUGCCGCGUGAAGGCGAGUGCCCUACGGGCGUUAAACUUCUUUUGUGCGGGAGCAAUAAGGGCCACGCGUGGCCCGAUGAGAGUACCGCACGAAUAAGCAUCGGCUAACUCCGUGCCAGCAGCCGCGGUAAUACGGAGGAUGCGAGCGUUAUCCGGAUUUAUUGGGUUUAAAGGGUGCGUAGGCGGAUUUUUAAGUCAGCGGUAAAAUGUCCGGGCUCAACCCGGGCCGGCCGUUGAAACUGGGGAUCUUGAGUGGGCGAGAAGUAUGCGGAAUGCGUGGUGUAGCGGUGAAAUGCAUAGAUAUCACGCAGAACUCCGAUUGCGAAGGCAGCAUACCGGCGCCCGACUGACGCUGAGGCACGAAAGCGUGGGGAUCGAACAGGAUUAGAUACCCUCGUAGG
RNAcentral lists this ribosomal RNA (467 nucleotides) under uncultured bacterium. RNAcentral describes it as "bacterial SSU rRNA". It matches the Rfam family "Bacterial small subunit ribosomal RNA", at positions 328 to 794 of the family's 1533-position model. The record is from RNAcentral.